CGUUGGCUUUCCUCCCUCCCAGCCUCCGUGUCUCCUCCCUCGGCCCUCAGUGACGAUAGUGCCCCCUCUUCAGCAUGACACUGAGGCCCCCCAGUGGCCUGGCCCCUGCCUCCUUUCCAGCCAUUAUUUCCUCCCUCAGUCUGCCCUUCAGAAACACUGCACUGCCCCCAGGCACGCUGCCUGGGCCUUGGUCUCUGUGCUCCCACUGGACCUCAGCUGUCAAGGACCUUCUCACCUUCCUCUGGGCUGGCUACACAUUCGUCAUCAUUUAAGAGUCACCUCCUCCAGGAAGCCUGUGUGAGCCCCAGGGAUGCCUAAAUGCGGGACUCUGGGGCCCUUCACCUUCUGUCCUCAGCAUAACCGUGAAGGGACUGUCUGAGAAGGCAUCUUCCGAGCGCUCAGGGACAGCUAUGGGUUGACCGUGUCAUUCUGAUAUCAUCAGUGUCAAGUGCCAGUAGGACAUUCACUAACAUUUAUAGGCACCUACUAGGUGCUAGGUGCUGGGCCAAGCUUCUGACCAGCAUCCAUUCAUUUAAUCCUCCCAAUAGCCCUGGUUUGGAGAUAACUAUCAUCAUCCCGCUGUUGGAGGAAACAGCCCCUUCCUUUGCCAUGCUAACAGGGACAGGAGGGCAGCUCCCGUUUGAAGCCGGCUUCAAAGCUACAUUCCCAGCUGGGUGGAACUGGCACAAACUGGCUACUCCGAGAGAGCCAUUGGGCAGGACAAAGAGGACGCCGGGAGACGUGCCUGGUGCGGAGAGCCUGCGAUUAGGCUGUGAGUGGGACUGACUGAUUGCUCUGGCUCUCAAGGAAUGUCUCUUCAAGGAGAUCCAGCUCCCCCAAGGGCACUCGGAAGACGGAGGUCAUGUGGCAAAUGAGGACUCGGGCCCGCGCAUCAUAGCGCCCUGGGAAGAGAGAAACAAGGGCAGAGAAUCAGUUUAGCUUUUAAAGAGCCGUGCAAGCCAUACAGCCCCAGGCCUGGAAACGGCCUCCAUGCACCACCCCAUGGAGGUGGUCAGCCAACCCGUGGGCCAGCCUCCUGGAUGGGAUACCGUGUAGCACUGAAAACCGCUGAUCAGAGACAAGGUGGUAUUUUCAUGAGAAUAGCAAAGAUCAAUUUUUUUUAACCCCAACGGUUUUAAGGAGGUGUUGAAAACAGUUCUCCGAACAGCGCUUGCCACAAAGAACAAAUGUUCAAUGAAUAAUUUGACGGACCUGGGAGGGAUUUGUGUGUCUAACCCUCAGCAAACAGCUCAUCCUUGCUUGGGUGGAAAAUGGAAAUGGUGAGUCACCUCACAAAGGUUUGAGGAGAGGACUCCCAGUCCACGAGAGGCCCCUAAUGAACAUUACGGAAUUAGACUCCUCCGCUGGGUGCCCGCGAUGUGGUGCCCUCCGAGCCCUGCAUCCCCAGGGGACAACAGAGACAGUGGGUUUGCUGGGUAAGGCCUCUCUCCUCCUCUGGGUAGGAUCAUCUCUUACAGUGACGAGUUACUCUUAAUUGUCAAAGUCUUGACAAUGCCUCAAAUACUCUCUCGGAGUUGCUCAUCACUCAGAUCCUUUCUCAAAUGUCACCUCCUCUGAGAAGUCCUCCCUGACUCCACUCCAUUGCUUUCUAUUCCUUUAUCAAAAGGUAUUUUCUUAUCACCUUUUAAAACUUGAUUUUUAGGGCACCUGGGUGGCUCAGUG
Mustela erminea (ermine) is the source of this 1683-nucleotide long non-coding RNA. RefSeq lists it as uncharacterized. The record is from RefSeq and is a predicted model, not a curated record. Lineage: Eukaryota; Metazoa; Chordata; Mammalia; Carnivora; Mustelidae. The transcript is spliced from 6 exons.